GCAGGUGCAGCCUUAAAAAGACAAUAAAUAAAUAAAUAAAUAAAUAAAUUGCUCCAAUUCCUAUGAAGGAUAAAAUAGUAAAAAUUGCUGGUUUAAACCUAACAGAGGGUCAUGAAGAAGUCAGUAAAGCCAAAGGAGUGACUGCAGGUGUCACUGGGCAGUUUGGCCUAAAUGACGUCCCACGAUUUUAGGGCCACAACACAUGACAGGGUUCAGCAGGAAUGUUGGGUCAGAUUUUCCCUUGCUGCACACAGGCUUUCACUUAUCUAGAGGAGGAAGAUUUUGAGCCAGGGCUGCCUGACUUCAAGGCACCUGUACCUGGGUUUUAGUCAAAGCCACCCAGCUCCCCUUGGACUGAAAUGCGUGGUCCCAUCAGUUUCCAGUGGAUCCGGCUCUCAGGUGACACCCCACACUUGCCCCUCCCCACACUCACCCAGAAUUACCACCCGUCACCCCAUUACACACACACUUGGAGCCACAACCCCUAGGAGUGCUGAGAUGGUCUCUCUUUGGGACAUACACUGUUCUAAUGACUACGGAGAGCUAAUUUUCUAAUCAAAAAACAAAAAAACACCAUACAUGGAGGCUUAGUAUAUGCUAUACAUCACCAGAUUCAGAGUCUUUUUCUAAACUUAUUCCCUCCCUUUUCUCCCAAAUAAAGGAAGAGGGGCAGUUCACAACAAGGAACUGAGGCAUGGAGGGCAGAGAGGGAGAAAGUUGCGAGAACCGGGGGAUAUUGAAAAGAAUAGAGGCCAUCCAGUUCGAAGGGCCUGGAUUUCAGUUAAUCUGUUGAUCUGGGACAAGCUAUUUUUUCAUUUGUCAAAUAGGGAUAAAAAUAGUGCCGACUGGCUUAAAGAAUCAAGUAGCAUGAUGUUAUAUCUCAGGAUGUCAUAAAUAAUUUAUACACGUUAUCUCUUUUCAUGUUUUAUUCAUUUUAUAAAGGGUCGAGAAGAACAUAUGAUGGCAAUAAAAUUAUGAGGAAAAGCACAAAAUAUUAAAAGUGGGGAAAACUGCAAUCCAAGAAAAGAGAAAAGGGGGAACGAAAUGGCAACAAAGACAUGAGGAAGGUAAUAGAAUUAUUAUCAUACUAAUUGGGAGAGGAAGUCACAAUCAAGUUAGGAAAAAAAAGCAGAAAUGCAUAAACUGAUUGGGGAACGUAAGGACAGGACGCGUUGAAGAGGAAAUGUCCAGCUUGCAGCCUGCAGCCCUGCGGCCUUGCUCGGUGCACAGGGCUCAGACCGAGGAAAGAGGCGCAGGGCCCACCCGCUUUGGGUGGCUUCUGGGACUCUGAAGCCAUGCCGUCUGUGACAACAACAGACUCCAAACAGAAAAGGGACGAGAAAGGGAAGAAGCACGGUGGGGAUUUAAAUUAAAUCAGCCUCAAGUGAAUGGUCAAGGAGAAACCGCAAUAAAGAAUCAUUUACAAAUAGCCAAGAACAUAAAGUAAGUUCUUGAAGGGCGAGGGAAGAGAGGAGGGGAAGUGAAUAGUGGGCUGGAGUCCCGAGAGGAGGGCCACCAACGCAGGGUGGCCCGGGGUGAGAGAACUGGGCAGGAGUAAGAAAGACAAAAAUGGAAAGUAGACCCUGGUCUGGGAUACUUCAGGAUUUUUUUUUUUUUUUGGUCUUUUUGUUGGGAUGCUUCAGGUUUUGAGUCCCAACUCUGCCCUCGAAGGACACUGUGACUUAAGAAAGGUCACAUAAGCUCUCUGAGCCUCAAUUUCCUCCUGCAAUGUUAACAUAAGGGGACAGAGCUUGAUGAUCUAAGGAUCCCAUGAGGCACCUUUAGAAAAUUCUACCAAACUAGCUCCCCCUGAAGCCAGCUCCCUUUCUCUUUCCACUCCCAUUGCUGCCGCGUGGGGCUCUGCUCUGCGGGGAGAAAUUACGAUGCGGAAGUUGGGAGAAAAGAAAGACCAGUGAUGCUGGGACAACACAAAGCACACUGAGGAAUGAAGAAGCGAGCGGGUCAAGUUUAACAGAAGAAAAAAAAAAAAAAGGACAUUCAGAUGCAAAAAAAAAAAAAAAAAAAAANCCCACUAGGUAGCAGGCAAUGUGCCCAUAAAGGUUUCCUGUUGUUCUUAUUCCACAUUAAUCUUUAUGCCCUUGUAAAAGGUAUUUUGUAUCGAGGAUCAAAAGUAAAAUUUUAAAAGAAAAAUAUGGUGUCUGGGUGGGCAGGAGAAGGCAUGAGAGUGAGUACAUCAGGGAAGGAGGACGACAUGAUAGAAAGCUGAAACCAAAACCAGCUCAUCAGGAAAGGCAUCAAAGGCCCUGUGGAGAAGGUUCUUCCAAAAUAAAAAUCAAACCACAAAGGCCUAAAACAGAAAAGGCCUAACAAACAAGGGGGAACCUUGUGACGUUUUGAACAGGUGCGCUCAGCACAUCGGUGUGUUACAAAUGGGUCCCCGUUGUGAUUAUCUGGCCACUGGGCCACUGGCUGUAAAUGGCCUGGUCCACCACCAUCUGUGAUGUCACGACAAAAUACAAAUAAAAUAAAUAAUACUAGUAACUAUCGUCUGAGAUGGGCUGGGACCUGGCAAAGUUUGAGGAGCACUGCAAUUUUGACCACAGGAAGAAGAGAAGCAGGAAAGACCCACCUAUAAAAGCAAAACAAGAAGGAAAUUCAUAACAGAAUAAUCUGAGAGUAGCGGCAGCUGGUUCUGCUCAAAUCUACACCGGGGAGAGGGCAAGGCUCCCUGUUACAAGGGGCAGCUAAAAAUAGAUGAUGAAAUACUUAUUAUUUGAGCUGGAAGGAAUCUUAAAGGUUAAGACAGGACUUGAACACUGGUUUUGCAGGUCUGUGUGCAUGUCCGGGUCUGUGCCCUCCAGCGGGAGUGCAGGCUCCUGGCUUUGGGACAGUUCCAGGUCACAUGCGGGUUUAACGGCCUCACCGCAGAGUACACCAUGGCUGGUGGAAUGUGAACAUGUAAUUCAUGUUUGUUGAAUGAAUGAGGGAAUGAGUGCAAUUUGGUCAAACAUCCAUUUUACAAAUGUCUGGACAGGCAGUGCCGGUCCCAGGUGUCCUGGCUGCCACUUCAGGGCUCAUCACGCUCCUCUGCCAUCCAUGCUUCUUGGCUCCAUGUUUCCCACCAAGGAAUAUACACAGCACCUGGGGUGGUCCAGCAGAGGGGAGCCAACCCCAGGAGUCCCGGCUCUCUCAUCCUCUGGGAACCUCAGCAAAACCAUUUCUUUCAAAGCCCCGAUUUUCUUGUCUGUGAAAUGCUGUGCUUGGAUCAAAGCAUUUACAUGAUUUUUUAGUUGAAAGGGGCAUAUGAAACCUUAUUCUCAAGGAAAAACUCUGGUUAAGGCUGGUUUUCAAAGGAAAUCUUAAGCCAAAAUUGGCGCUGGGCCUUCUCACCCUGGCCUUCAUCAGUGAGCAUCAACUGAUGGAUGGGGCUGUACAAUGUAUGUGAACUGUAUUUAAAUUUUUUUCACACAAAGAAAAGGAUACCCUUUUUUUAAAUGUAUCUGAAAAGUGGCAUAGAGCUCUCAGGAAGGUGAAUUUGGAAGGAUUUUAGUUAUUAUCUGAACUUGGGUCAUUACAUUUUUACCGGUACACAAAAAGUAUAAUAAUUAGUUUUGGCCAGUCUUAAAUUGCAAAGCCAGCUUUCCGAUUUGCUGUCUUUCUUUAGAGCUAUGGACGAAAACACAGGUUGAAGAAGGGAAAAGCUUUCAAAGAAAUCACUGUGGAAAUCUCCAGUAUGAAAACCUCUGAUUUGCAUUGGUUUCCAAGGGAAACAACUCCUGGCCUAAUCCCUAAUCUCUCCAGACUCAGCUGCAGGGGAAAGGCCAGAGGCAGUGAAGGGACACCAUGGGAGCGAGUGUGUGCCCGGUUCCUCCCUCCUCUGGGCCCUGUCCUCCCUUCCCCUUGCUCUGCAUCUCCACAGCUCACACAAAGGCCUCGGAGGAUUAGCUGCUCCCAAAUAGCCUUAGGUAAACACCCCACCUGUCCAGAAGAUGAAAAUGCUUUUGUCUAGAGGCUUCUUACUCUCUUCCUUCUGCAAAACGAAUUCUCUAAGUUUCUUCCACAUGCAUGUUUCUUUUCUGCAAUGAACAAAAGUUGCAUGACUUCUCUUUAAUCCUCCCCUCUCUUUUUGUGACUGUCACACAAUUCUUGUCACCAACUCUUGGAAGAGAAGAAUUCAAAUCAUCUAUUUUUAGACCACAAAGUAAAAUAAGGCUUGUGCGUUCACCUGAAUUCUUAGAGAAAGACCCAUGGGUGGUUGAACAGUGGGCUAAUGUUGUCUGGCAGUCCAAUAAAUAUAAUGCACAGUAACAGACCCUUAAUUCGGAAAAGUUCUGUAUUUUGCCAUACACGGUUAUAUCAUCUGAGAUUUGGAUAGAUUUUGAGGAGUAGGAAUUAUUGACAUGAGCGUGUCAUGGGUGUUAGAGAGUUUGUGUGGCCAAGAACACACAGCUGGUGAGAAGAUGCUGGGACUCUGAUCUGAUGAUCCUACCUCCUAAUUUCAGGCUCUUUCGUUGCAGAAAGAAACGAUGUCCCUCUGUUUUUUUUUCAGUACAGAAAAGACAGAAAUGGCUUAUUUCUUUUGGAUAAGCAAUGAUAACAUUCCUUUCCUCUUCCUCCCCUUUCUUGGUUCAGUACACGCUUACCAAGGAGUGAAAGGCCUUGGGAACAUUUAUGAUGGCAACCCUUCCUCAUCUGAAGGGGACAGGAGAACGAGGGAGCAAAUUUGCUCCCCCAGUUCUGGCAGCUUUGCACUGUAUCUUUUUUUUUUUUUUCCUUUUUAGGGCCACACUAGUGGCAUGUGAAGGUUCCCAGGCUAGGGGUCUAAUCAGAGCUACAGCUGCUGGACUGCACCACAGCCACAGCAACGCAGGAUCCGAGCCACGUCUGCAACCUAUGCCACAGCUCACGGCAAUGCCGGAUCCUUAACCCACUGAGCAAGGCCAGGGAUCAAACCUGCAACCUCAGGUUUCUAGUCGGAUUCGUUUCUGCUGUGCCACAAUGGGAACUCGCACUGUAUCUUAAGGUUGCCCCCAUCUUAUGUGUUUGACCUGAAGUGUCCUGGUUCCGAAAAACCGAGCUCACCUUUCCUAUCAAGUUCCACAGACUGUAGUUACAGCAAGGAUUCCUGUCUGUGUGGAUUAACUUGCAUGUCAGAAUCUACAUCUACUGCAUCUGAUUUCCUCUAGAGGGGAGCCAGGGGAAGUGGAGUUUUCUGAAGGGAGAGAAUGCAGAUGUGAAGUGAGCAGCAGAGUAUAGUGGACUCAGUCUGAAGGGGCUGGAUCAAACAGCACCUCCAUCCAAGGAGCCACUGUAGCUCCAGAACCUCCCGUCUCCUAAAGGUCAAGCCAUGUGUGUGUGUGUGUGUGUGUGUGUGUGUGUGAGAGAGAGAGAGAGAGAGAGACACUUUGGACUCACCUAAGAAAGCAUUCUGAUUGAAAACAGAAAACCAAGAGCUUCAAAAUACAAUCUGUUUGCAUAAGAAACUUCAAGAGGAAGAUGUGCCGAAGGGAGAGAAGGCUUUCCGCAGAUUUCAGAAAACCUUCUAACAAGAAAGUGUCCGUUUUUUGACUCUCCAAGGAGCAACCAGAGUAACAGUGUCUCCAGCUGUUCCUGCCUCUGUCACGGGGGCUGCUGGGAAUGGAAUGAAGCUCCCUCCACCAAAUCCAGCCUGGGUUUUCAUUUUUUCCCCCUGCCCAUCUUCACCCAAGGCUAACCUGGCAGAGCCAAGGCUCACUUCCCUCCUACUCACUGUGGGAAAAAAAAAAAAAAACCACUCAGGCACUUUGAAAAGGUCAAAGGGGAAAGGGCAGCCGUGGGACUGAGAAGCGGGAAAGAGAAGGGAGCUUGGCAAGAAAACUAGGUCCUUAAUAAUGUGGAUGGGGUUUUGCUCUACCCUUCCAAAAUGCCCACGUCUGGAGACAGCCUGCUCUGCUGUAAAUCUGCUACUUCAAACACCGAGAAACAGGAUUGCUCUUAAUCCCUUAAACCUAAUUAUCAAAGAGACGUUUACUCACCAGCAGCCGCUCCCUUCUGCUUUCUGGUGACCGCUCAUCAUCUGUGUUCCACCACGAAGCUCAUGGUGGUGCCGUCAAAGGAGGGGGGGGCAAUGAUCCUCGGCCCCAGGGGCUGCGAAGUGAUGCUGAUGACAGGCUUACCGUGCAGCUGAGCGAAGCCCUUGGCCCCCACCAGCUGGGAUGUGGCUGCUGGAGCAGAGGAGGAAGAGGAGGCGGGAGACUGACCAGAGGCCAUGAAGUAGGGGGCCUCAGGAAACGGGGCAGCUGCCUCUUUGCUGGGGGGCUCUGCUGCCAUGGGCGAGAGCUCACCGCCCCCCGGAGUGUGAGCAAUUGGUGUGGGCUGCAGGGCGUUGGCGGGCAGCACCGUGGGCAGAAACCC
Molecule: long non-coding RNA, 6354 nt
Filed under: Sus scrofa (pig)
Lineage: Eukaryota; Metazoa; Chordata; Mammalia; Artiodactyla; Suidae
Description: lncRNA (ENSSSCG00060035585.1)
Source: RNAcentral